Molecule: long non-coding RNA, 205 nt
Filed under: Glycine max (soybean)
Lineage: Eukaryota; Viridiplantae; Streptophyta; Magnoliopsida; Fabales; Fabaceae
Description: long non-coding RNA (GMAX_LNC004093)
Source: RNAcentral
AAUAAGAAAAUUGGUAAACACUGUUUAGUCAUAUUGCAUACAAAUAUCCUAUAGUACUCUGUCAAUCGCAAUUGUCUUCAUCAUCAUCCACCAUUAUCUUUGUCCUAUGUAUCCCUUCUUCAUCUAGACCAAACAUAAACAUUUCCUCUUUCAAUGACACUUCAGCUAAUCUUAGACAAUGCUCAGUCAGAGUGUAUGCAUCAAU